CCUAGCUCUUUGGUUUGUCCUCUAUAAUUUGAUUUUGUAGAAUGGAUACGCAUUGAUUUGUGCUUUUAUGAUGACAAUCUGUUUCGUUUCUUCUUUUUGUCUGUCAGAUUCUUGAAGCACUUACAACUUUAAGAUCAUGUGAAAAGUUUUCUAUGGAACGUAUUGAGUUGCUGGGAGAUUCUGUUUUGACAAUCUGUUUCGUUUCUUCUUUUUGUCUGACAGAAGAAAUGUUUGGAGGAGACGACGAAGAUGAUGAUGGUGAUGAUUCUUCUGUGUUUCUCAUGAGAAUAAGAGGAAACAUGAUGAGAAGAAGAGUGAAAGGAAGGCAACCAAGGGUGGCAAAAAGGUAAUUGCUCGAAGAGUAGCCAAGGGUCGGUUUAGGAUUACAGCUUAGUGUCAUUGACUUUAAAGUUAACGAUUCAAUGUAGCACCUUAGUGCACUUCAUGAUAAGAAACUUCAGUGGAACAGGGCGAACAGGCUGGGGGGUUUCUGAGUACAGUAUUCUAUAAACCAUUUUCCAGGCAGCUAUUGUAUGGAUAUGUUAUGAAUUCAUUUAUUGGCUUUUUGGCAUCGCGGUCAGUUUCAAUAAUAUGUAACCCUUACUGUUUUAUGUCCAAGACACCUUAAAGAUUUAGGUGUGGUUGAUUUACUAAAUGUGAAGUUUGAUAGAAUGGAAUUUCUUAUUUUAAGCCAUGUCCAUUCACAUUUCUUAUAUUUAGUAUUAGUAGGUUUUUUAGAGGUAAAAUGUGGUUCAUGCCAAUUCUCCUAUUGAAGAAGGAUGACUUGAAUGUACAAGGAAAUGCAAAUUAAAGAUGUGA
Vicia villosa (hairy vetch) is the source of this 819-nucleotide long non-coding RNA. RefSeq lists it as uncharacterized. The record is from RefSeq and is a predicted model, not a curated record. Lineage: Eukaryota; Viridiplantae; Streptophyta; Magnoliopsida; Fabales; Fabaceae. The transcript has 2 exons.